RNAcentral lists this ribosomal RNA (253 nucleotides) under uncultured bacterium. RNAcentral describes it as "partial 16S ribosomal RNA". It matches the Rfam family "Bacterial small subunit ribosomal RNA", at positions 524 to 776 of the family's 1533-position model. The record is from RNAcentral.
UACAGAGGGGGCAAGCGUUGUUCGGAAUUACUGGGCGUAAAGGGCGCGUAGGCGGCCUGCUAAGUCGAACGUGAAAUCCCCGGGCUCAACCCGGGAACUGCGUCCGAUACUGGUAGGCUUGAAUUCGGGAGAGGGAUGCGGAAUUCCAGGUGUAGCGGUGAAAUGCGUAGAUAUCUGGAGGAACACCGGUGGCGAAGGCGGCAUCCUGGACCAACACUGACGCUGAUGAGCGAAAGCCAGGGGAGCAAACGGG